This 132-nucleotide ribosomal RNA is filed under the name uncultured Dothideomycetes. RNAcentral describes it as "partial 18S ribosomal RNA". Lineage: Eukaryota; Fungi; Ascomycota; Dothideomycetes. The record is from RNAcentral.
GGAGACCUUGUUACGACUUUUACUUCCUCUAAAUGACCGAGUUUGACCAACUUUCCGGCCCUGGGUGGUCGUUGCCGACCUCCCUGGGCCAGUCCGAAGGCCUCACUGAGCCAUUCAAUCGGUAGUAGCGAC